GGCGGCAUAGCCAAGUGGUAAGGCAGAGGUCUGCAAAAUCUUUAUCCCCGGUUCAAUUCCGGGUGCCGCCUCCA
RNAcentral lists this transfer RNA (74 nucleotides) under Succiniclasticum ruminis. Its description in RNAcentral is "tRNA_Cys_GCA". It matches the Rfam family "tRNA". Rfam says of the family: Transfer RNA (tRNA) molecules are approximately 80 nucleotides in length. Lineage: Bacteria; Bacillati; Bacillota; Negativicutes; Acidaminococcales; Acidaminococcaceae. The record is from RNAcentral. RNAcentral also lists the same sequence under 2 other names.